UACGUAGGGGGCAAGCGUUAUCCGGAUUUACUGGGUGUAAAGGGAGCGUAGACGGCAGUGCAAGUCUGGAGUGAAAGGCGGGGGCUCAACCCCCGGACUGCUCUGGAAACUGUACGGCUGGAGUGCAGGAGAGGUAAGUGGAAUUCCUAGUGUAGCGGUGAAAUGCGUGGAUAUUAGGAGGAACACCAGUGGCGAAGGCGGCUUACUGGACUGUAACUGACGUUGAGGCUCGAAAGCGUGGGGAGCAAACAGG
This 253-nucleotide ribosomal RNA is filed under the name uncultured bacterium. RNAcentral's name for it is "partial 16S ribosomal RNA". It matches the Rfam family "Bacterial small subunit ribosomal RNA", at positions 524 to 776 of the family's 1533-position model. The record is from RNAcentral.